Chelonia mydas (Green sea turtle) is the source of this 319-nucleotide long non-coding RNA. RefSeq lists it as uncharacterized. The record is from RefSeq and is a predicted model, not a curated record. Lineage: Eukaryota; Metazoa; Chordata; Testudines; Cheloniidae. The transcript is spliced from 3 exons.
GACUACUGAGGCACCCCUCAAAGACUGAAAUAAACCGGCUUGGGUUCGUGGAGAAUUCCCCAGCCCGUGUUUUAAAAGCUGCUAGGUCUAUUGGAUUGAAUGGCACAUGGGUGUAAACUUGCAUGGUGGUAGCCUGACGUCCGUCUUCCCCUGGGCAAGCCACAACAGUCUCGGCUGAGGAAUCAGGUCCACGUUUCACUAAAGAUCAGCCAGUCUUCCAGGGGACAGAGAAGGGAAAUGGCUGUGUUGGAACCAGCUCAGAUGCCGGUGACCUUCGAGGAGGUGGCUGUUUAUUUCACCCAGGAGCAGGGGGCUCUGC